RNAcentral lists this ribosomal RNA (1887 nucleotides) under Sphaerodoropsis minuta. RNAcentral describes it as "SSU rRNA". It matches the Rfam family "Eukaryotic small subunit ribosomal RNA". Lineage: Eukaryota; Metazoa; Annelida; Polychaeta; Phyllodocida; Sphaerodoridae. The record is from RNAcentral.
UGCAUGUCUAAGUGCAAGCCUCAAAGUACAGUGAAACCGCGAAUAGCUCAUUAAAUCGGUCAUGGUUCCUUAGAUGGUAAAAUUCAAAGUGGAUAACUGUGGAAAAUCUAGAGCUAAUACAUGCACUAAACCCUGACCGUCAGCUCGCUGGCGGGAGGGGUGCAUUUAUUCGAUCAAAACCAAUGAUCGGGCGCAGGCGCUAAAGCGUGUGCUUGGCCGCCUUCCGCUGCCGCAAGGCACGGUUGGUUCGGUCUCGUGCGCGUGUCUGUCGUCCGGACUUACGUUUGAUGACUCCGGAUAACUUCCGCAGAUCGCAGUGGCCUUCGAGCCGGCGACGCAUCUUUGAAAUGUCCGACCCAUCAAGUGCGUUGGUAGGUGAUAUGCCUACCAAGCUUGCAACGGGUAACGGGGAAUCAGGGUUCGAUUCCGGAGAGGGAGCAUGAGAAACGGCUACCACAUCCAAGGAAGGCAGCAGGCACGCAAAUUACCCACUCCUAGUUCUGGGAGGUAGUGACGAAAAAUGACAAUACGGGACUCGUUCGAGGCCCCGUAAUUGGAAUGAGUACACUUUAAAUCCUUUAACGAGGAUCGAUUGGAGGGCAAGUCUGGUGCCAGCAGCCGCGGUAAUUCCAGCUCCAAUAGCGUAUAUUAAAGUUGUUGCGGUUAAAAAGCUCGUAGUGGAUUUGGGCUGGCGGCACGCCCAGUCGCCUCACGGCGGCCUCGGGUGUGUAACCGCUUGCCGCUAGCCGGUAUCCUCCGGGGGUGCCCUUCACUGGGACGCCUUCGGCGGCCGGCAUGUUUACUUUGAGAAAAUUAGAGUGUUCAAAGCAGGCCUAAGAUGCCUGAACGGUGGUGCAUGGAAUAAUGGAAUAGGACCUCGGUUCUAUUUUGUUGGCUUUCGGAAAUCGAGGUAAUGAUUAAGCGGGGCAGAGCGGGGGCAAACGUACUACGGUGCGAGAGGUGAAAUUCUUAGACCAUCGUAGGACGAACUAAAGCGAAAGCAUUUGCCAAGGAUGUUUUCAUUAAUCAAGAGCGAAAGUCAGAGGUUCGAAGACGAUUAGAUACCGUCCUAGUUCUGACCAUAAACGAUGUCGACUAGCGGUGCGCCGACGUCUUCUAAUUUGACUCGGCGUGCUGCUACUCUCGGGAAACCAAAGUGUUUGGACUCCGGGGGAAGUAUGGUCGCAAAGCUGAAACUUAAAGGAAUUGACGGAAGGGCACCACCAGAUGUGGAGCCUGCGGCUUAAUUUGACUCAACACGGGUAACCUUACCAGGUCCGGACAUUCGUGAGGAUUGACAGUCUGAUAGCUCUUUCUUGAUACAAUGGGUGGUGGUGCAUGGCCGUUCUUAGUUCGUGGAGCGAUCUGUCUGGUUAAUUCCGCUAACGAACGAGACUCUAGCCUACUAAUCAAGCUGGCUGGCCCCAGCAUGUUCGGGGCCAGAUGCCUCUCUCUAGCUUCUUAGAGGAACCGGCGGCUUCUAGUCGCAACAAGAAGAGCAAUAACAGGUCUGUGAUGCCCUUAGAUGUCCUGGACUGCACGCGCGCUACAAUGAAGGAAUCAGCGGGACCACCUAGUUCGAGAGGACCGGGUAACCCGAUGAACCUCCUUCGUGGUUGGGACUGAGGCGUGCAAUUCUCCUCAUGAACGAGGAAUAUCUAGUAAGCGCGGGUCAUAAGCCGGCGUUGAUUACGUCCCUGCCCUUUGUACACACCGCCCGUCGCUACUACCGAUUGAGUGGCUCAGUGAGACUCUCGGAUCGGUGUCGGCCUUACCGGUCGCGCGCGGCUUCGGUCGCGUUGCAUCGCCGACUAAGGCCAACGACACUGAAAAGAAAGUCGAACUGAGUCGCUUAGAGGAAGUAAAAGUCGUAACAAGGUUUCCGUA